UGAGGAAUAUUGGACAAUGGGCGCAAGCCUGAUCCAGCCAUGCCGCGUGCAGGAAGAAGCAUCUAUGGUGUGUAAACUGCUUUUGUACGGGAAGAAACACUCCUACGUGUAGGAGCUUGACGGUACCGUAAGAAUAAGGAUCGGCUAACUCCGUGCCAGCAGCCGCGGUAAUACGGAGGAUCCAAGCGUUAUCCGGAAUCAUUGGGUUUAAAGGGUCCGUAGGUGGUUUAAUAAGUCAGUGGUGAAAGCCCAUCGCUCAACGAUGGAACGGCCAUUGAUACUGCUAGACUUGAAUUACAAGGAAGUAACUAGAAUAUGUAGUGUAGCGGUGAAAUGCUUAGAUAUUACAUGGAAUACCAAUUGCGAAGGCAGGUUACUACUUGUGGAUUGACGCUGAUGGACGAAAGCGUGGGGAGCGAACA
Molecule: ribosomal RNA, 422 nt
Filed under: uncultured bacterium
Lineage: Bacteria
Description: bacterial SSU rRNA
Rfam family: Bacterial small subunit ribosomal RNA
Source: RNAcentral